Molecule: long non-coding RNA, 32528 nt
Filed under: Triticum aestivum (bread wheat)
Lineage: Eukaryota; Viridiplantae; Streptophyta; Magnoliopsida; Poales; Poaceae
Description: long non-coding RNA (TAES_LNC022814)
Source: RNAcentral
AGGGUCGGAACCAGGGAAGGACGGGAGACCGGACGGGGCUGAACAUUCAAACAUGCCAUAUCAUAUCGCUUAUUUAUGUUUUCACCACACCAGCGGUACACCACAUGGAUCUGUGGCCUGCUGUACAUCAUAUACACACGGACACGGAAAGCAUCACAGGCGGGUGCAGCUCCGACCCUGCGAGAUCCACCGUCGGCGAUGAGCCUGUGAUCUAAGACAUCUUGACGUGCUCCAUGCGCUGCCUCUCCAUGUACUCGAAGAGGCUGCCGUCGUACAUGCGCCGGAUGGCCUCCCUCGACAGGUACCCUUCGUCGUCCCGCGCCAGCACGUACAGGAUCGACCACUCCAGCUUCAUCGCCACCCUGCAUCCAUCCGUAUCAUCUCACACCAGUCAGUUAUACAACAACAUAGCCGCAGCAUGUAGCGACUGAAACUGAAGGUCCAGUCAUGCUGAUCGUGUAAUUAGUCGGUUACCAGCCGAAGAAAUCGAACACCUCCCGGGACCCCUCGGUCAUCCGCCACAGCUCCCUGUAGCUCAGCCUGUCCGGGUACGUGCGGGCGUACUUGCUGAAGAUGUUCUCGAAAUUCACCGGCAUGAACCUGCACAACAUACAACACACAUUUCACAUUCGCCGCCACCACGUCGGUACAUAAUUAACAGUAAUUACUACUACUACACACCGGCCCUCUUUGUCGUAGGUGCCCGAGUCACUCCCGUGCUUGCUCUUGUGGAUGUUGUGCACGUAGAUAGGGAAGAGAGGGUUGGGCAGCCAACCCUGCACAGCCACAAAUCACAGUCAAUACAUAUACAAAAGACUACUCCCUCUGUUCCUAAAUAUUUGUCUUUCUAGAGAUUUAAUAUUUGUACGGAGAAAAACUGAGUGAAUCUACACUCUAAAAUUUGUAGGGAGUAAAUGAAGCACGGUGUGAUUUCUGAAGUCGAUUCCUCUAUUCGAGGGAUAGCUCACUCACGGGCAGGGUGGGAUAGCUCAUGACCAGGUUCACCAGAAACGCGAUGAAGGCAGACAUGAACACGUUGAACCCAACCGCACGGCAUCCUACAUCAACCGACAAAAAGGAAGACGUUAAAUGUCUUCUGCGCCAGCCGAACUGAAAUCACAAAUCAAGACGAAGCGCGGUGCAGCACACGUACGUACCCUCGUAAGUCUCCCACGGAUAGAUGAUGCCGUUGUUGUCGCGGUCGAAGAAGGCGACGUGCUGCUGCAGCACGCUCAUGUUGUGGUGCUGGUGAUCAUCCGUCGUCCCCUCCGGGUGGUACAUGUCCGGCGCCGCCAGAGCCCUCGCCAGAUCUGCUCAGCCCAAUUAUUAACAUCAUAAAUAUGCCAGUGAAAGACUGAAAUGGCAGAUGUAUGUAUGCGUUGCGUACAGGGCUUGGGGACGUGCUCCUCGAGGUCGCCGCGGACGGGGCGCUCCACGGUGACCGGCGCCUGCAUCGCGACGAUCUUCAGGGAGUCCUUCCCCCCGAUGCCCCGGAGGUCCUCGAUCUUGCUGCCCGCGUCGCCAUGCCCAUCCGUCCUGUUUGCACCCCGGUGGCCGACGCCGCCGGCGGUGUCGUGGUCGCCCUUCGCCUCACGGACGACGUGCCCGUCCGCGGCGUCGCCCUUCCCGUCCGUCCUGCUCGCGUCACGGACCUCGACCUUGCGCCCCUUGGUGGCCAUCUUCGCCGCUCUGCGACGGCGCACCAGAACAGGGUGGCAACCGAUGAACCGUGAGCGGAAUCGUGGAGAAGGUAACUUGCAGGCAAGCUGUGGAGUGCUGCUUCCGCUUCUGCUACCGAGGUUACAGUGUGUGUGGGGUAGCGCCGAGGCCGCGCAACCAUAUAAAGCGGCUCAGAGCCCCUGGUACGUGGCGGCGGCGGCACGACGUGGGCGCAUGCAUGGCGCUGCCGCCCUGCUCGGCCGUAACGUGUCGCUGGGCGGCGCACCUACUCACCGAAUCGUCGUGUCCGGAGGUUUCUCAUGGCAUCUCGAGGGCUUGAGUAAACCACUCCGGUCGUCGUCGAGCGGGGGCGGCUUUGUCUCGCCUUUGGCGAAAAGGUACGUACCGUCGCAUCCGGUGCUAUUUAAAUUGGCCAGACCCAUAAGCGCGCACACCAACAAACUCUGUUUAUAUUUCGAAAUAUUCUACGUGUAAAUACUUCAAAAAAUAUUUUCUUAAAAUUUUCAAAUCGUUCAUAACGCGUUCAAAAAAUAUUAAUGCGGUGUUAAAGAUGUUCGUGAAACUUUUUUUAUACCAUUAAAGAAAGGUUCACGUGCUUAAAAAUUUGUGACAUCUAGAAAACAUUUUAUAGAAAAUGUAAAAAAAACUCACGUGAUUAAUUUUUUUUUUUGCCAUUUAAAAAAAAUGUUCACACAUUUCAAAAAUAUGUUUUUCAGAUUUGUAAAAAAAUAUAUUAUACAUGUAUCAUGUAGUUUAAAAAAAUGUUUCAUACUGUUCAACAAAAUAUUUUGAAAUUUAAAAAACGUUCACGUUCCCAAUAAUAUGUUAGUGACCUUAAAAAUGUUUAUACAAUGUAAAAAAUGUUCAUCUACUUUAAAAAAAUGCUUAAUACCAUUCAAAAAAUGUUCGGUGCAUAUUUGAUUUUUUUAAAAUUUAAUUCAAACAAAAAUCAAAUGUGUAUUAGUAAAAAAUGUUCAUCAUGCAUUUGAGAAAUGGUGAAUGUGUAUCAAAAAGAUGUUCCGCGUGUAUAAAUAAGAUGUACAUCAUGUAUUGAAAAAAUUGGACAUGUAUUUGAAGAAAUAAAACGAUAAGAAAAAAAAUUUGAAGAACCCUGAAGAAUAACGAUGAAAGAAAGAAAAAAAGCCGAUGAAAACCGAUAAGAAAAACAGAAACCUGGUGCCAAUGAAAGAAACACAAACCUUCUAAAACUGGACCGAACCGGUCCUUAAAAGCUUCCCAAAACCGCUCUUGGCAACUACAGUACUGAGCUGGUCCACUAAUCUGGUGCCAAAGGUGAGACCGAAGGAUUCCCUCGGUGAUAUAACUCUAGUGGUCAUCAGAAGUCAAGAAAGCUGGUGAAGUUAUAACCAUGGGCUUCUCAUUUCCUACAGCCAGGAUGUAAAGUCCAGGGGCACAUAAAUUGUCAUGGGAUUCUUGUAAUUGAAAUUGAGGAUGUGGGCCUCUUGAAUUCUCGUCCUCCUCAUAUAGCCCAUACAAUACAAAUAGUAUAUAAUAUAACACAAAACUAAACUGCGUAGCAUUCAGAUUUCGUCCAUUUGGGGGGGGGGGGCGUCAUGGGAUUAACCAGCGCUUGACAACUGUUUUUCCUCCUGAUUUGUUGUACAUCGAUUUCUUUGAUUUGGCUGAGGUAAAUUGUUUGAGGUCGCAUCAUUUUAACGCGGGAUAUUUCGAGCCAUUAUUGACGGGGGAAUAGACCCCGGGUAGCCUCAUCCGCACCUUAGCAGAUUUCAAGACAUCAGGGCUAGCCUAGCCCCUCAGUCCGACUGGUCGCAAGGCCGGCCUCCGCGGCCGGCUGGAACCAACCGGCCGCCUCCUAGAAGGCGGCGCACCUCAAAAGGCGGUGAGGGCAUGGGCCAACUCCUGGCAGGCGGUCCAUCACCACCUCAAAGUCUGCACCCACCUGCUACGACAAGACAGGGUGUGGCAACAGUGCCACCUGCCACCUCCGAAUCCCGGAAAGAACGUGGCUACAGUGCGGACGUACCAGGCGGACACUCCGUAGAAGUCCAUCAGCGAGCGGAGGAACCCGCUCGCCGGAAGGCCGAAGUCGCAAAGAAAAUGCGCCUGAAAGACGACGAACUCGCCGUCCUUCAGCGCCGGAGAGAUUUCCCUGGCAGGGGGAGACACACCUUGACGCCGGUGUGAUGAGGAAGGCGCCGCAUCUCGCGGAGGAACUGAAUGUGGUCCUCGUGGACGAUGGAGCCGUCCUAAUCGCCGGUGUGGCCGCUGAGCGCCAUGGGCUCCGUGCUCGGCAGUGACGCGAGGCGGCAGCGGUGAAGAAAAGGCCGGCGACGACGAGCUGCAGCAGUGCUCCGGUGAGGGUAGAAAGCAUGGUGGCAGCGAAGAAGAAGAAGCAAGACAGAGGGGGAGGACGGCGCGCAUGCGUUCUGCCGCCCCGUCCUCCCCCUACUUAUAGCCUCGCGCCGGUGGAGCCGAGGGGGCAAGGCGUGGGGGAGCGUGGGAUUAACUGCGCCCACUCCCCCCACGACCCCGCAAAUUCCAUGCCUUAAAGGCGUCUAUUAAACCGUCCUGGAAGAGCAAUUGUCCGCAGUGGAUCCAUGCACGUACCGAGGCCUUGUAGUGGCGGGCCCGGGCCUGCGGCAAUGUUCCGUCGUGCGCGUUGGCUGGCAGGCCAACCUGGCCGCCAGGCGCUGCAUGGCGGGCAGCCAGCGGGCGGCGAGCCUGUCGCUCAGCCGGCACGCCACCUGGCCCCCACCACGACUAUUCGAAGUCCGCCAGGCGGCCGCGACCUCGUCCGGCUCCUGGCGCCCGACUCCUCCCAGGCGGACGGAGCAGAAGGCGGAAGGCCACUUAAAGAGGGAAACUGCUGAGGCUCCCCGGCUGCCCAAGCCGUAGAACCUCACCAGCUUCGGGGACUACUGACGGGGGGAUAGACCCCGGGUAGCUGUCGGUGUCAAAACUGGCGGAUCUCGGGUAGGGGGUCCCGAACUGUGCGUUUAAGGCUAAUGCCCAGACUCCUUCCUCCACAUCUCGGCGUUUAUCACCACGUGCGAGGCCUUCCUCCGUAUUUCCCCACACUUCGGCUUAUGGCUUAAGACCUUUAACGUGAAACCAAAGGUAAUCGACGUGAAACAAGCAGAGUGCGGAGGUGCUUCAAUAAGCAAACUUACCACUUCCCCCUUGCCGAAGGGCUCCUUCGCAGAACCUUCUGACUUAUGGCAACGGGGGUGGUUUUACAUUACCGAACCCCGUGGUACAAAGCAGGUAGCUGCACCUGCGUUUCGAUCGGGCCCUCCGCUUCAGCUUGCAUCAUGGGUAAACAAAGGGUUGGACUGGGGUUCUGUUUAUGAAGUGCAGACAUUGUAAAGUCGUAUUUGGAGCCUCAUUAAGAAGGACACCGGCCUCACCAAUAUCAUCCAAGUAAUGCUAGUCCGCCAGAUCCUUUCGUGCCAGUGGCGUCCUCUCCGCAUGUGGGAGUUCAAUCCAGAAGGUCUACGGACCCUUCAACACUUCUCCGGCACAAUGCUUAGAGAGAUGUGGAAUUUAUUCUUCGGCGCACGAAAAUAGUGGCCGGAUAGAACAGAAGACAUCGGUCUUGACUGCAAUCAUUCGGAUACUCCGGUAAGUACUUGACUCCUGAACACAGUUUAGUCAGAUUACUCAUAACAAUGUAUUGAUGAAACUCUACUCGGCCAAGGCUGGCUAAAGAAGGCGGAGAGAAUCAGGUGUUCGACUCCACUUCCCGAAGACCAUGUUGAUCCGGUGUUAAGAAGGAUGUUGGCUUCGGUGCCAUAUCAAGUGCCAGCGGGGGAGGAUAAGGAGGAGAGCGAAGAGGCCCAAGGCGACCUUCAUUCUGGAGGUACACCAGGCAAUUUGUCCGGGUAGAUCGGAACUUCCACUUCCAAAAGUGGAAGGGAAGGGAAAGCUGACAUCCCUUCUCCUCAUGGGAAGAAGCGGACCGCCUCCGAAGGCUUGAAGAGAGAAGCUUCUAAGCGGGGGAAGAUAUCCCAGUCAGGGGAUGAUGCUGACACGCAGUCGCUCCGUAAAGAUAAGCCCCUAGUCGGACCGUAAGUGAACCAGGGUGUUCUAAACCUACCCCAUUCUUUCCUGGCUGUAAGGGUAACAUUUUAAACACAUGUUUGCAGUCCGACACGCAGCCCUCCCCAAUAGUCCUCCUCUUCGGGGGAUCUUCUUCCGGAGAUGAUGGAGAGUGAGACGCCUCCACAAAUUUCCCAGCCUGAUAAGGCAGACCAUGCCGAGGUGUCGUCCCGGAGGAUCUUUCCCAAUCAACGAGUGGCGCAAGAGGCAGUGAAGACCGGGGCCGAAGGUAAUACUUCGGCCGCCCAGGGUCCGGGGUGUGCAGCCCCUACGGGGAACAACAAAAGUCCCGGACUAUCCAAUGUCCAAGGGACGACGCAACCUGUUCCGGAUCCGGGGGCGCCGGAUACAUUGAUGUACAUAUUGCAACAUGCCUUCGUCUUAGAGGAAAAUCGUACCUUGAUGGGUACGGUGGUUGAAAGAGUUCGGUCCAUGAAAAGCGGAUUGAAUGAAGCCUUUACGAGCCUACUAAGAGGCUUCGAGGUACGUAGUGUAACUUCGAUUAUAUUAUAAAUGAAAAUUGCACCUGUGUAUAGAUAGUAGCCCCUGAGACUCUGGUUAACAUCCAAAGGGAGGCGAUCAGAGGGUCAAAAUUAUAUGCCAAGGAAAUGAUCUGACUAACUGAAACACAGGCUGUUACAUCCGCCGCAACUGAACCCAAGCUACAGAGGUAGCACAUCUGAAGCAGAAAGUUGAUGUAGUGGAUGAUGACAUCACGCUUAUUAACAGGCGGCUCGACGAGGCACAAGGUAUGUCUCUGGGGCACUCAGUACAUGCUAGUAUUGUGAAAUGAGUGUGAUACUGAAAAAUUGUAUAUGCAUGACUGCAGAUAGUGCCACCGCAGUUGAGAACCUUUGGGCCGAACUUGCCCGGGCCAAGGAGCAAGCCAGGAUGAGUAAUGCGGCUGUCGAAAAGGUAGCCGCCGAAUAAAAGGCCGAGCAGACUGCUCGGUGUCAGUGCGAGGAGAGAAUAUCUUCUAUGGCACUUGAACUGAAUGAUGCCACUAGCCGAUGCCAAGUUCUUGAGAAAGAUAACAAAGUCAAAGCGGUCGAUCUUGACAAGGCCUUACAAGAGGCGAAGGAAGCUCGGUUUGAGUCUAGAGCAGCUCGGGAGGAGAUCCGACAAGCUGGGGAGAUCGCGGCUGGUAAGCCCUUUUUAUUGCAAACUAAGUUUGGUGAUCCGAAGUAUGCGCCGCUUAAUCAACUAUGGAGUUCUCCAGACACCUUUAUGGACCUGCGGAAGAGUGUUGCUGAUGCGAAUCAAUUUUUCCACACGCAAGAAGGACAUGCGACGGAAAAACUAUUUUGGUCGCAAUUUGACACGCCAAAGCGUCCACUGUUGAACGAACAGAUGGCCCAAUGGGCCGAGCUCCACAAGAUGUUUGGUACUAUCAUGAAGGACGUCAUAGCCCGGCAGUGGCCAACUGAGCCCAUUCCAAUAGUUAUUUCAGUUUGGUGCAACAACUUGUUAAUGCGGUGCCGUGUGUCGACGCUGUGAAGCGGUCGACGUGCAUAGAAGGUGCACGGAUGGCCCUUGCCCAUGUCAAGAUGUACUGGGCGAAGAUGAAGGCCACCGAUAUUGUAGCGCAGAGUCCACCCGAGGGCAAGGACCUUAACAUGCCAGAACAUUACUUUGAAGAUGUCCUAGAGGGUGCCCGCUUGAUAGAGGGUCAGUGCUCGAAAAAUAUUAUGUUCGAGUGAAGUGUAUCAAAAUUGGAAUAACAAUAUUAUGAUAUAUUUAAGGCUGUGUUUUUAUACUUUUUGCCCGAAAAGUUUUGGUGCCUCCUGUGUGGCCGUCUUUUUUAUAUAUACAAUCUGAAAGUUUGCAGUCGUCGGCUUCAGCCCCCUCGCGUAUAACGCAGGAGUGUUCGGAAAAGCACUUGAUCACACUUGACCCAAUGUCUUGGUCCGUUAAGGAGGUGUUAGUGUGGCAAACUAGGCAAUCAGACUAUAGAGCUUUAACACUUUCACUUAGCCAGAGAAGUUUGAAGGUGGGGCUACUAUAUAGCCCCUGGUAUGUCCGCGGUUAUCCGAAUAUGGUGCGUUUACAUAUGUGACCAAAGGACGGUCCUUCGUUUAACACGGAGGGAAUCGCGAAGAUUCCGAUGAGUCAUCGAGUGGUUGACCAGCUCUCGCCACAUCAUGACAGUCAGUUUUUGGCUUUCUCUACUGAGGUGCUGAUCUGGACGAGCCAGGGCACAAUCGCAGUAGUUCUUCCUUUACUACCCUAGAUGAUAUAGCGGAACGUAAGGUAGUAAGCACAGGAGCCAGGCAACCCAACUAUUGACCAAAGACAUGAUUCGGAGCUGAUGCAUAUAAUGCCAAACUCGCGACGCCGAACACUCCCUACAGGUGUCCGGACUUUUCAGUAUACAUCGGGCUGAAUACAUCCCCUGGUGAUAAACCCUGGUAUCAAGGCACGUAUGGCAAUCCGACGUGGGGAAAGAGUGUAGGUGGUGAGAGCAUAAAUCUCAAAACAUAAUACGAACCGAGCUGCUUCUAUAACAUCCACUUUAGUAUGGCGAGCCGUAUGUCUACAGAUAAUGCCGAUAUCUUUCUUGGACAUUUUACAUGCCAUUAAAGUAUAAAACAACAAGAGAUAAAAAAAGGUUUACACAAGGUCUUAAUCUAAAAAAGAAACCUUAAUGCGGGGCCCUGCUGUACGUCUGCGCAUUUGUCUCCGUUGUGAAGUGUCCUUGAAGGGUAUAGUAUGAUGGCCAUCUGUAAAAAAGGAAGAAACCAGGUAAAAUCAUCUGGUGUGGCCGUAAGUAAAGCUAGUUCGUAUUAAUGAACCAUGAAAUAUAACUUCUGGAGUCCGAAUAGGGUCGAGCCAAACUAUGGACUUUUUGUGUGCAGUGUGCCCCCGGUGCCACCCAAGGCAUUUUGGUUGUAUAUUUAUGUAUACAUGGCACGUGUGCUAUCUCCUUACGGGGCGGUCGGUGGGGGCGUGGCUGCUGAUCAAGCUUAGGUUUGUCUGAGCUACCACACUAAGGUGUGCGCCGAACACGUUUAGUUGUGUACACGGUCUUAAAGACCGAUGAGCUACUCGGCUUGAAUAGGCCGUUUCGUGCUUCCACUACUAGAGCCGCCGUGUAUUCUUCUGUAGGAAGAGAGCGCUCCGUAUUUCCGCUGACCGUGAUGACGCCACGUGGUCCAGGCAUUUUCAAUUUUAGAUAGGCAUAAUGCGGGACUGCAUUAAAACGGGUGAAGGCCGUUCUUCCGAGUAGUGCAUGAUAGUUGCUUAAGAACGGAGCAAUGUCGAAGAUUAGUUCUUCGCUUCGAAAGUUGUCGGGAGAGCCGAAUACAACAUCCAAUGUUAGAGAGCCCGUGCGGGAGAAUUGAAUAAGUUUACAGGAUACAACAACGUUCCUAGCGAGUUCCGCUCCUAGCGAGUUCCGCUCCCCCCGCCGGCGGCCACUCCGGCCCCGGUGUCCACCUCCGCUUCCGCCGGCGGCCACUUCAGGCCCCGGCGCCCCCCUUCCCCGGCGGCCUCCCGGGCCCCGGCUUUUUCUUCCGCGGCGCUCGCUAGGGGGCCGUUCCGCCAUGCCUUCGGGUCCAGCCAGCCCCGCCUCGGUGUCGUCGAGGCUGCAUCCCAUCAUCUCCGGAUUGGGGCUCUCAGCCUCGUCCAGUUCUGCGGGUGCGUCCAUUAGUGCUGGAGGUGCGCCGGCCCGUGCUUUCGAUGGCCCGGCUGCGGCCACCUCCGUGCCAUGGCGCAAGCCAGGGCCGUCCCGCAAGGCUCUCUGGCGCAAGAGGAAAGCACUUCGGAAGCAGGCGACGGCGGGUGGAGCCCAGUCGCGCUCGCCGGCGUCGUCCCAAGAGAGGAGAGAGAUCCCGGCGGAUCUAUUUGGCCUCUGCUUUUCUUGCUUCAGGGAGGGUCACCGCCGGGAAGAUUGCGAUUUCCCACCGCUGUGCAUCCGGUGUGGUCUGGAGGGGCACAUUUCUACGGAGUGCAAGCGGCCGAGGAGCCCAAGGUCGGAAGAAGAUCUCCGGCGGGACGCCGUUGCCAAGGUUGCGCGUGCUUCGCAGCCAUUGAUGCAGGCCGGACUCGCGAACAGGCUGUCGUCGGCGACUAGGAAGACCGCUCCGUUGGAGAGGUCCUCGCCAGUGCCGGUCGACACUGCACCUGUGGGGUUCGGGCAGGCAUCGGCUGCAGCUGUUGCUUCCGGUGGCAUCUACGUGCUCCGUAGGACGCCGGAGAUGGAGGAUCUUGAGCAGCGUUUGAGGCUGGCGGUGGUGGCGUACGUGGGCGGUACUCGGCCCCCGGUGUCGUGCCGGGAGGCGGCGGAAGGAGUGUCGAUGGCCCUGCACAUUCCCCUCCAUCGGUUCUCUGUUCACAAAUUCCAUCCCGAGGACUUCCUGGUGGUUUUCGCCUCGCCGGAGCUGCGUAACAAGGCGUUGGCGGCGGGCACCGUUGAGUAUGGCUACUUCAAGUUGUUCAUCAAGCCAUGGCUCAAGCAGGCACAAGCGGUGUCCAGAGUGAUGCGUACUCAAGUUGAUCUCAUGAUCGAGGGGAUUCCAUCUCAUGCGUGGACGAUCGAGACGGCGGCCGGGCUCCUUGGUUCGUCAUGUCUGGUCGAGAGUUUGGCUCCAGAGACAGCAAAUCGCGAAGAUCUCUCCCUCUUCAAGCUACGAGCCUGGUGUGUGGAUCCUGAUGAAGUGCCGGCGGACAAGCGACUGUGGGUGCCGGAACCGGAGGAGAACAGAGGGCCGGCAGCAAGGUCACCGACGUCCCGUGCUUUGCUGGAGUAUAAAACAUCAUCCACAUUGGAAGGCUGCACGAGCACGAGGGUCCAGAGCGUUGGCUCAGGCCUCCUAGUUCCGGUGGCAGCGGGCAGAGCGGCUUGCCGGGGAACUCUGAGGACUUUUCGGGUCGGGGAGAAUGGCGCGUCCUGCCAUGGUCGAGGGGUGCACGUGAUCACCGCGGUGGGGCGCCGGGCAGAGGUGCGCACGGCGGCUCCUACAAGCAGGCUCUGUUGGGUCGUAUUGGGCCGUCAGAGUGGAGGUUACCGCCGAUGGCUCGUGGCAAGGAGGUGUCGGCGAGCGCGCCCGUGGUCACCACGGCCGCUGCGACAGGGGCUUGCCAGGGAGGAGCGGUGGCUGCUGCACAAGCUAUGCAGGAGGCGCAGUUUACCACAGAUGUUCCGGUGGCGCAGUUUGCCACAGACGAUCCGGGCAGGUGUCAUGGGCCCCUGCCACGCCAGGAGGUUACAGUUGCCAUCAUUCCGCGCGUUCCGUUGGGCCCGGGUAGCCAGACUUUUGACCAUGUGAUGAGUAGAGAUCAGGCACCCACCAAUGCCAGCUCGCAACAGAGGAUUCACAGCGCGAUCCGCGCGGAUCCCAUGGGAGAUGACCAUGCGCAGGAUGAGACGUGCCAGGAGGCGGGUUUUCGGGACUCUAAUCCCGCCAUUCCGCCCGCUGUUGAUUUGGUGGGGGUCGCCAAUUCCGUGGAGCUAGCCCCACUAGAUCCGCUGCCCGACAAAGUCGUAGAGGAGUUGGCACCGGUCUUGGACGCGCUGCAGCUAGCGACAACGGAGACGAUCGAUAGGCCUUCUGCUAAUUUGGUGGACCCGGGUCCCAGUAUACAGGAGGCUGGUGCUGGUUUUGAGGGAGCCCAUGUGACCGCGCCAAUUGCAGGCAUGCAAGAGCCGUUGCAUGGCGGCAAUGGUUCUGAUGCUGGUGCAAUUACUGUGCAGCACCGCGAGGAGAAUCUAUCAGCGAAAGAUAUCACUGCGCUUGGGAACAUAAAGGCGUUUUGCGCUGGGUUGCUUAAAAAGCUUGCCCCGCCGCUUCUCAAGGAGUUCGAAGGGCUGCGAGGGGUUAAACCAGGCCAUGACCCGUUUACCCCACGCUGCACAACUCGAUCCGUCUGUGAAAGUAGCUCUAGGAAGACGAAGGCCUCGGCAGCUGAGACGGUGCUGCUUAGAACCUUGGGCUUGGACUGUGAUGAUCUGGCGGUCUCGGAAGAUGCGCUAGGUCAGCUCCGUACAGUGUUCGACUCACCACUCCAGGAGUCGCAGUUGAGGGCCAUCGCGGCUAUCUUCGGGAAGGCGAUACCGCUCAACCUCGCAGAGGAGGUAGGGAUGGCGGAGCCGAUCUUGGCGCAGUAGGCACGUUGGUGCCGGUGGUGUUGGAGGCAUUUCGUUCUGAUGUCGUUCAAUGCUUUGGAUUUAGUGUGUUGGAAUGUAAGAGGCCUUAACAGUCCGGCCAAAAGGAAGGCGCUUAGGGGAUUUGUGGAUUCCACUCGCGCGGCGAUUGUUUGUAUCCUAGAAACUAAACUUGAGGUGGUAGACACUUUUGUAAUCUUACAAUGCAUGGGGCUGAAUUAUGAUGGUUUCACUUACUUACCGGCGUCGGACACGAGAGGCGGUAUCUUUGUGGCAUGGGACACCACACGGGUCCUCCUGUCAAAUUAUGUAAAUGACUCCCACAGCAUUUCAACAUACGUAUCGCCCAAGAAGGAAGAGCCAUGGUGGCUCACAGUAGUAUAUGGGCCUCAGGAAGAUGAGCGCAAAAUAAACUUCCUCAAUGAGCUUUCGGAGCGUAGAUCCCUAUGUCCAGGGCCAUGGCUCGUCUUGGGAGAUUUCAAUCUCAUCCUUUAUGCGGCAGACAAAAACAACUCUAAUUUGGAUAGGGGAAUGAUGGGGAAGUUCAAGCGGUUUGUGGAUGAUAAUGCGCUCAAGGAGCUCUUUUUGCAUGGACGCAAAUUCACGUGGAGCAACAAAAGGGAGACGCCCACGCUUAGAAAGAUCGACCGUGCGUUUUCUUCCAUAGAUUGGGAGCUAGACCACCCGGAGUGCCUGCUGCAAGCUUUAUCUACUGAGCACUCCGAUCAUUGCCCACUCCAUCUUGCUCUUGAGGAGCACAUGCAUGCCAGAAGGAGGUUCCGUUUUGAAAAGUUCUGGGUCAAAAUGGAUGGAUUUUUGGAUGUUGUCAAGGAGGCCUGGGUCUGUGAUCCGGAUAUCACAGACACGUUCUUGCGCUUAGACAUCAUGCUUCGAAACACAGCCCGAGCGCUUGCUAGAUGGGGGCAGAAGGAGAUCGGGAACAUUAAGCUGCAAAUCGCUAUUGCGAACAUAGUCAUCAUGCGGUUUGAUUGCGCUCAGGAGAGUCGUAGUCUGAUUGAGGAGGAGAGAUGGCUUAGACGAACCCUAAAACAGCUUGUACUUGGACUGGCGUCCCUAGAGAGGACUAUUGCGCGACAGAGGUCUAGAAUUACAUGGCUUCAAGAAGGGGAUGCUAACACGCAGUUGUUCCACCUGGUAGCGAAUGGGAGACGUAUGAAAAACUACAUCCCUUCCUUGACCAUGGAUGGGUGCAUCAUUACGGAUCAGAAAGGCAAAGAGGAAGCCUUCUACAAAGCUUACAAGGACCUGCUAGGCAAGGAUGGAGCCCGAGAUUUCACACUUGAUUUGGAGGGGCUUGGUGUCACGGGCAUCGAUCUUUCGGACCAAGAUCGCGUGUUCACUGAGGAUGAGAUUUGGGCAGUUAUCAAGGAUAUGCCUUCGGAUAAAGCACCUGGGCCGAACGGAUUCAUUGGCAUUUUCUUUCAAAAAGCGUGGGAGAUUAUCAAGGUCGAUCUAGUUGCUGCGAUUCACAAGUUUUUCCUUGGCAAUGGAAGGGGAUUUGGAAGGCUCAACCAAGCUCUGAUCACCCUGAUACCGAAGACACCGGAUGCAUGCGCGGUGUUUGACUUUCGACCUAUUUGCCUUGUGCACAGUAUGCCCAAGAUAGCUUCCAAGCUGUUGACCGCCAGGCUAAGACCGCGCAUGGGAGAGCUUGUACAGACGAACCAGUCCGCAUUCAUUAAGGGCAGAUGCUUGCAUGAUAACUUUCUCUUGGUUUGGCAAAUGGCGCGCACGAUGCAUAGGAGGAAAGCCAAGGGAGUGAUGCUCAAACUUGACAUAACCAAAGCGUUUGAUUCGCUGGCGUGGCCGUUUCUGUUUGAGGUGUUAAGAGCCAAGGGCUUCUCGGAGCGCUGGAUCUCUUGGAUUGCGACCUUCCUCACCACCGCUAGCUCGAGGGUGCUUGUGAAUGGAUGUGCUGGCGACAAGUUCAUGCACGCUAAAGGAUUGAGACAAGGGGACUCGAUAUCUCCCCUGCUGUUUGUUAUUGCCAUGGACGUUCUUACGGCCAUCAUCUCCAAGGCACAUGAGGCGCAAGUGCUUAGUACCAUCAAUGGAUGUAGUCCAAUGCAGCGCUUGUCCCUGUAUGCUGAUGAUGUGGUGCUCUUCAUAUAGCCAACAUGGCCAGACCUCAUGUGCGUUAAAGAAAUCCUUGCUAUAUUCGGAGUGGCUUCUGGGCUCAAAGUCAACUAUUCCAAAUCUGUGGCAAUCUUGAUCAGAGCAGAAAAUGAGGAUGAAGAGCUUGUUAAGUCUGCACUGCCAUGGAGAAUCGACGCCUUUCCAUGCAAAUACCUUGGGCUCCAACUUAGCAUCAAGCAACUCAAAAGGUCAGAGUGGCAGCCAAUUGUUGACACGGCUCUCCACAUCCUGCCUAGAUGGCAAAGGGGCCUCGUGACGAGGCCGGGGAGGCUCAUACUUGUCAAUCAAGUAAUGAGGGCGCGCGCUACACAUCACCUCAUGAUAGCGGAGGCACCUAAAUGGGCUCUGGAGAGAGUGGACAAGGGGUGUCGGGCAUUUUUCUGGGCCGGAUCUGAGGCGGUGAAUGGAGGCAAAUGUGUCGUCUCCUGGGCUAGAGUGUGCAUGCCUAAACACUUGGGAGGCUUGGGAGUCAUUGACCUGGCUAAGCACGGUAUCGCUCUAAGACUUAGAUGGGAAUGGCUCAGACGCACUGAUGAUUCCAGGCCGUGGCAAGGCCUCAACCUGACCUCGGACAGAAAGGUGGACCAAGCUUUUGGUAGCCUUGUCAAAUGGGAAGUUGGUUUAGGAGGCAAGACCUUGUUCUGGAAAGACCGAUGGAUACAUGGAGCAGCUAUUAAAGAUUUUGCACCCUUGGUUGUGGCAAAGGUGCGGACACAAGUGGUAAACAAGAGACUUGUGCGAGAUGCGAUGUGCAUGCAUUCAUGGAUGGACGAUGUAAUAGGCGAUCUAUGCACUGAGGGUCUCACCCAGUUCAUCAGCCUUUGGGAGAUUCUCUUGGAAGUUCAUUUGGACGCUCAGGUCGAGGACUGCCCCAUCUGGGCUUGGAACACGUCCGGAGUCUACACGGCAUCAUCUGCGUACAAGAUGCUAUGCGAGGGAGGAGUCCGAUUCCAUUGCUCCGGAGCCAUAUGGAAGUGUUGGGCACUGCUUGCGUGCAAGCUUUUCAUGUGGCUUGCGGUACAAUAUCAUUUAUGGACCUCGGACAGGAGAGCUAGGCACGGAUUGCAAGACCAAGCAUCAAAAUGUUACAUGUGUGACCAGGAGGAGGACACAGUGGACCACAUUUUGCUACAGUGUGUGUUCUCGCGGCAAGUGUGGUUCCGCUGCACUACUAGGGUGGGUUUGACGGCCGACCUUUGCCCAACAAAUGACUCAAGAUUGGUGCAGUGGUGGACGGAUACGAGAAAGCGGAUUGAUAAGUAGUCUCGGAAAGGUUUUGACACCUUUGUGAUGCUAAUUUGUUGGACGAUAUGGAAGCAAAGGAAUGCGAGGGUCUUCGGCACGGGCGUAAUCAAGAAUGAGUGGGAUACUGUUGACUCUAUCUUUGAUGAGUUGAGGACUUGGGCCAAAGCAGGAGCUUUCGGAGGACAACCGAUCAUAGAAUAGUCGAGUAGAGCUAGGGAGUGGUGUGGAGGCUUGGUUAGGGUCGGUUUGUGACUCCUAACUAGCGAUGUGUAAUCUCUUGUACAUAUUUUUCUUCCUUCUAUAAAGCUAAGGUACGCCUUUGGCGUACCCUCGAAAAAGAGAGCCCGUGCAGCGGGCUUCCACGCCCGGUAUAACUCCUUUAAGGGUAGUGCUGCUUGGCUUGAUUCUUGACGGGUCUAUCUGUUGGAAAUAUGCCCUAGAGGCAAUAAUAAAUUAGUUAUUAUUAUAUUUCCUUGUUCAUGAUAAUCGUUUGUUAUCCAUGCUAUAAUUGUAUUGAUAGGAAUCUCAGAUACAUGUGUGGGUACAUAGACAACACCAUGUCCCUAGUAAGCCUCUAGUUGACUAGCUCGUUGAUCAAUAGAUGGUUACGGUUUCCUGACCAUGGACAUUGGAUGUCAUUGAUAACGGGAUCACAUCAUUAGGAGAAUGAUGUGAUGGACAAGACCCAAUCCUAAGCAUAGCACAAGAUCGUGUAGUUCGUUUUGCUAGAGCUUUUUCAAUGUCAAGUAUCUCUUCCUUAGACCAUGAGAUCGUGUAACUCCCGAAUACCGUAAGAGUGCUUUGGGUGUACCAAACGUCACAACGUAACUGGGUGACUAUAAAGGUGCACUACAGGUAUCUCCGAAAGUGUCUGUUGGGUUGACACGGAUCGAGACUGGGAUUUGUCACUCCGUAUGACGGAGAGGUAUCUCUAGGCCCACUCGGUAAUGCAUCAUCAUAAUGAGCUCAAAGUGACCAAGUGGUUGGUCACGGGAUCAUGCAUUACGGUACGAGUAAAGUGACUUGCCGGUAACGAGACUGAAUGAGGUAUUGGGAUACCGACGAUCGAGUCUCGGGCAAGUAACGUACCGAUUGACAAAGGGAAUUGCAUACGGGGUUGAUCGAAUCCUCGACAUCGUGGUUCAUCCGAUGAAAUCAUCGUGGAACAUGUGGGAGACAACAUGGGUAUCCAGAUCCCGCUGUUGGUUAUUGCCCGAGAGCCGUCUCGGUCAUGUCUGCAUGUCUCCCGAACCCGUAGGGUCUACACACUUAAGGUUCGGUGAUGCUAGGGUUGUAUGAAUAUGAGUAUGCAGCAAACCGAAUGUUGUUCGGAGUCCCGGAUGAGAUCCCGGACGUCACGAGGAGUUCCGGAAUUGUCCGGAGGUAAAUAUUUAUAUAUAGGAAGUCUUAUUUUGGUCGCCGGAAAAGUUUCGCACUUUAUCGGUAUUGUACCGGGAGUGCCGAAAGGGGUCCGGGGGUCCACCGGGGGGUCCACCUGCCCCGGGGGGCCACAUGGGCUGUAGGGGGUGCGCCUUGGCCCAUAUGGGCCAAGGGCACCAGCCCCAAGAGGCCCAUGCACCAAGGAGACUUGGAGAGGGGAGAGUCCAAAGAGGGGAAGGCACCUCCGAGGUGCCUUGGGGAGGAUGGACUCCUCCCCCCCUCUUGGCCGCACCCCUUCCUUGGAGGAAGGGGCAAGGCUGCGCCUCCCCCCUCUCUUGCUCCUAUAUAAAGGGAGGGGAGGGAGGGGUGGCCGGACGAAUAAGUCCUGGCGCCUCCCUCCUCCCUGCAACACCUCCUCCUCCUCCCGUAGUUGCUUAGCGAAGCCCUGCCGGAGUUCUGCUGCAUCCACCACCACGCCGUCGUGCUGCUGGAUCUUCAUCAACCUCUCCUUCCCCCUUGCUGGAUCAAGAAGGAGGAGAUGUCAUCCGCUCCGUACGUGUGUUGAACGCGGAGGUGUUGUCCGUUCGGCACUAGGUCAUCGGUGAUCUGAAUCACGGCGAGUACGACUCCAUCAACCCCGUUCCAUUGAACGCUUCCGCUUAGCGAUCUACAAGGGUAUGUAGAUGCACUCUCCUUCCCCUUGUUGCUGGUUUCUCCAUAGAUAGAUCUUGGUGACACGUAGGAAAUUUUUUAAAUUUAUGCUACGUUCCCCAACAGUGGCAUCAUGAGCUAGGUCUAUUGCGUAGAUUCUUUGCACGAGUAGAACACAAAGUAGUUGUGGGCGUUGAUCUUGUUCAAUAUGCUUACCGUUACUAGUCCAAUCUUGUUUCGAUGGUAUUGUGGGAUGAAGCAGCCCGGACCGACCUUACACGUACUCUUACAUGAGACAGGUUCCACCGACUGACAUGAACUUGGUGCAUAAGGUGGCUAGCGGGUGCCAGUCUCUCCCACUUUAGUCGGAACGGAUUCGAUGAAAAGGGUCCUUAUGAAGGGUAAAUAGCAAUUGACAUAUCACGUUGUGGUUUUUGCGUAGGUAAGAAACGUUCUUGCUAGAAACCCAUAGCAGCCAUGUAAAACAUGCAAACAACAAUUAGAGGACGUCUAACUUGUUUUUGCAGGGUAUGCUAUGUGAUGUGAUAUGGCCAAGAAGAAUGUGAUGAAUAUAUGUGAUGUAUGAGAUUGAUCAUGUUCUUGUAAUAGGAAUCACGACUUGCAUGUCGAUGAGUAUGACAACCAGCAGGAGCCAUAGGAGUUGUCUUUAUUUAUUGUAUGACCUGCGUGUCAUUGAACAACGCCAUGUAAUUACUUUACUUUAUUGCUAACCGGUAGCCAUAGUAGUAGAAGUAAUAGUUGGAGAGACAACUUCAUGAAGACACGAUGAUGGAGAUCAUGAUGAUGGAGAUCAUGGUGUCAUGCCGGUGAUGAUGAUGAUCAUGGAGCCCCGAAGAUGGAGAUCAAUGGAGCUAUAUGAUAUUGGCCAUAUCAUGUCACUACUAUAUAAUUGCAUGUGAUGUUUAUUAUGUUUAUGCAUCUUGUUUACUUAGAAUGACGGUAGUAAAUAAGAUGAUCCCUUACAACAAUUUCAAGAAGUGUUCUCCCCUAACUGUGCACCAUUGCUAAAGUUCGUCGCUUCUAAGCACCACGUGAUGAUCGGGUGUGAUGGAUUCUUACGUUCACAUACAACGGGUGUAAGACAGAUUUACACACGCGAAACACUUAGGGUUAACUUGACGAGCCUAGCAUGUACAGACAUGGCCUCGGAACACAGAGACCGAAAGGUCGAGCAUGAGUCGUAUAGUAGAUACGAUCAACAUGAAGAUGUUCACCGAUGAUGACUAGUCCGUCUCACGUGAUGAUCGGACACGGCCUAGUUGACUCGGAUCAUGUAAUCACUUAGAUGACCAGAGGGAUGUCUAUCUGAGUGGGAGUUCAUAAGAUGAACUUAAUUAUCCUGAACAUAGUCAAAAGAUCUUUGCAAAUUAUGUCGUAAGCUCGCGCUUUAGUUCCACUGUUUAGAUAUGUUCCUAGAGAAAAUAUAGUUGAAAGUUGAUAGUAGCGAUUAUGCGAUCAGUAGAAAGCAUAUGUCCUUAAUGCACCGCUCAGUGUGCUGAACCCCAAACGUCGUUUGUCGAUGUUACGAACAUCGGACAUACACGUUUUGAUAACUACGUGAUAGUUCAGUUAAAUGUUUUAAGUAGAGGCACCAAAGACGUUUUCGAAACAUCGCGGAACAUAUGAGAUGUUUCGAGGGAUGAAAUUGGGAUUUCAGGCUCGUGCCCACGUCAAGAGGUAUGAGACCUUCGACGAUUUUCUUAGCCUGCAAACUAAGGGAGAAAAGCUCAAUCGUUGAGCUUGUGCUUAGAUUGUCUGAGUGCAACAAUCACUUAAAUCGAGUGUGAUUUGAUCUUCCAGAUGAGAUAGUGAUGUUUCUCCAAAGUCAUUGCCACCAAGCUGCUAGAGCUUCGUGAUGAACUAUAACAUAUCAAGGAUAGAGAUGAUGAUCCUUGAGGUAUUCGUGUUGUUUGACAUCGUGAAAGUAGAAAUCAAGAAGGAGCAUCAAUUGUUGAUGGUUGGUGAAACCACUAGUUUCAAGAAGGGCAAGGGCAAGAAGGGAUGCUUCAUGAAACGGCAAAUCAGCUGCUGCUCUAGUGAAGAAACCCAAGGUUGAACCCAAACCCGAGACUAAGUGCUUCUGUAAUAAGGGGAACAACCACUGGAGCAGAAUUAUCCUAGAUACUUGGUAGAUGAGAAGGCUGGCAAAGUCGAUAGAAGGAUAAUGGAUAUACAUUAUGUUAAUGUGUACUUUACUAGUACUCCUAGUAGCACCAGGGUAUUAAGAUACCGGUUCAGUUGCUAAGUGUUAGUAACUCGAAAUAAAAGAGCUACGGAAUAAACGGAGACUAGCUAAAGGUGAGCUGACGAUACGUGUUGGAAGUGUUUCCAAGGUUGAUGUGAUCAAGCAUCGCACGCUCCCUCUACCAUCGAGAUUGGUGUUAAACCCAAAUAAUUGUUAUUGGUGUUUGCGUUGAGCAUAGACAUGAUUGGAUUAUGUCUGUCGCAAUAUGGUUAUUCAUUUAAGGAGAAUAAUGGUUACUCUAUUUAUUUGAAUAAUACCUUCAAUGGUCUAGCACCUAAAAGGAAUGGUUUAUUGAAUCUCGAUCAUAGUGAUACACAUUUUCAUGCCAAAAGGAUAUAAGAUAGUAAUGAUGGUACCACUUACUUGUGGCAUUGCCAUGUAAGUCAUAUUGGUAUAAACCGCAUGAAGAAGCUCCAUGUUGAUGGAUCUUUGGACUCACUCGUUUUGAAAAGUUUGAGACAUGUGAACCAUGUCUAUUGGUGUAUACGCAUGAAGAAACUCCACGUAGAUGGAUCGUUUGGACUCACUUGAUUUUGGAUCACUUGAGAUAUGCAAAUUAUACCACAUGGGCAAGAUGACUGAAAGCCUCGUUUUCAGUAAAAUGGAACAAGAUAGCAACUUGUUGGAAGCAACACAUUUUGAUGUGUGCAGUCCAAUGAGUGCUGAGGCAUGCAGUGAAUAUCGUUAUGUUCUUACUUCACGGAUGAUUUGAGUAGAUACUGAGUAUAUUUACUUGAUAAAACACAAGUCUGAAUUAUUGAAUGGUUCAAGUAAUUUCAGAGUGAAGUUGAAGAUCAUCGUGAUAAGAGGAUAAAAUGUCUAUGGUACGAUCAUAGAGAUGAGUAUCUGAGUUACAAGCUUUGGCACGCAAUUAAGACAUUGUGGAAAUUGUUUCACAAUUAAUACCGCCUGGAACACCAUAGUGUGAUGGUGUGUCCGAACAUCAUAGUUGCACCCUAUUGGAUAUGGUGGUACCAUGAUGUCUCUUAUCGAAUUACCACUAUCGUUCAUGGGUUAGGCAUUAGAGACAACCGCACUCACUUUAAUAGGGCACCACGUAAUUCCAUUGAGAUGACACCGUGAGAACUAUGGCUUAAAGAAACCUAAGCUGUCGUUUCUUGAAAGUUUGGGGCUGCGACGCUUAUGUGAAAAAGUUUCAUCAUGAUAAGCUCGAACCCAAAACGGAUAAAAUGCAUCUUCAUAGGACACCCAAAACAAGUGGGUAUACCUCCUAAUUCAGAUCCGAAAGCAAUAGGGAUUGUUUCUUGAAUCGGGUCCUUUCUCGAGGAAAAGUUUGUCUCGAAAAGUUGAGUGGGAGGAUGGUGGAGACUUGAUGAGGUUAUUGAACCGUCACUUCAACUAGUGUGCAGCAGGGCACAGGAAGUUGUUCCUGUGGCGCCUACACCAAUUGAAGUAGAAACUUAUGAUAGUGAUCAUAAAGUUUCGGAUCAAGUCACUAUCGUACCUCGUAGGGUGACAAGGAUGCGUACUGCUUCAGAGUGGUACAGUGAUCCUGUCUUGAAGGUCAUGUUGCUAGACAACAAUGAACCUACGAGCUAUGGACAAGUGAUGGUGGGCCCAAAUUCCGACAAAUGGUUAGAAACCAUGAAAUCCGAGAUAGGAUCCAUGUAUCAGAACAAAGCAUGGACUUUGGUGGACUUGCCCGAUAAUCGGCAAGCCAUUGAGAUAAAUGGAUCUUUAAGGAGAAGACGGACAUGGACGGUAAUGUCACCGUCUAUGAAGCUUGACUUGUGGCGAAGAGUUUUUCACAAGUUCAAGGAGUUGACUACGAUGAGAUUUUCUCAUCCGUAGCGAUGCUUAAAGUCCGUCGGAAUCAUGUUAGCAUUAGCUACAUUUAUGAAAUCUGGAAGAUGGAUGUCAAAACGAGUUUCCUUACCAGUUUCGUAAGGAAAGGUUGUAUGUGAUACAAUCAGAAAGGUUUUGUCGAUCCUAAGGAUGCUAACAGGUAUGCUAGCUCCAGCAAUCCUUCCAUGGACUGGAGUUAGCAUCUCGGAGUUGGAAUAUGCACUUUGAUAAGAUGAUCAAAGAUUUUGGGUUUAUACAAAGUUUAUGAGAAACUUGUAUUUCCAAAGAAGUGAGUGGGAGCACUAUAGAAUUUCUGAUAAGUAUAUGUUGUUGACAUAUUGUUGAUUAGAAAUGAUGUAGAAUUUCUGGAAAGCAUAUAGGGUUAUUUGAAAGGUGUUUUUCAAUAGAAAACCUGGAUUAAGCUACUUGAACAUUGAGCAUCAAGAUCUAUGAGGAUAGAUCAAAAAUGCUUAAUGGUACUUUCAAAUGAGCAUAUACCUUGACAUGAUCUUGAAGGUGUUCAAGAUGGAUCAGUCAUAGAAGGAGUUCUUGCCUGAGAUGUAAGGUAUGAAGUUCAGACUUAAAGCUUGACCACGGCAGAAGAGAGAGAAAGGACGAAUGUCGUCCCCUAUGCUUCAGACGUAGUCUCUAUAGUAUGCUAUGCUGUGUACCGCACCGGAAGUGUGCCUUGCCAUGAGUCAGUCAAGGGGUACAAAAAUGAUCCAGGAAUGGAUCAUUAGACAGCGGUCAAAAUUGUCCUUAUAACAAAUAAGGACAUGUUUCUCGAUUAUGGAGGUGAUAAAGAGUUCGGCGUAAAGGGUUACGUCGAUGCAAGCUUUAACACCUAUCCGAGUGACUCUGAGUAGCAAACCGGAUACGUAUAGUGGAGUAACCAUUUGGAAUAGCUCCAAGUGGAGCGUGGAAGCAGCAUUUACAAUAUGACAUAGAGAUUUGCGAAGUACACACGGAUCUGAAUGUUGCAGACCCGUUGACUAAAACCUCUCUCACAAGCAGAACAUGAUCAAACCCCAGAACUCAUUGAGUCUUAAUCACAUGAUGAUGUGAACUAGUAUAAUGACACUAGUAAACUCUUUGGAUGUUGGUCACAUGGCGAUGUGACCUGUCAGUGUUAAUCACAUGGCGAUGUGAACUAGAUUAUUGACUCUAGUGCAAGUGGGAGACUGUUGGAAAUAUGCCCUAGAGGCAAUAAUACAUUAGUUAUUAUUAUAUUUCCUUGUUCAUGAUAAUUGUUUGUUAUCCAUGCUAUAAUUGUAUUGAUAGGAAACUCAGAUACAUGUGUGGGUACAUAGACAACACCAUGUCCCUAGUAAGCCUCUAGUUGACUAGCUCGUUGAUCAAUAGAUGGUUACGGUUUCCUGACCAUGGACAUUGGAUGUCAUUGAUAACGGAAUCACAUCAUUAGGAGAAUGAUGUGAUGGACAAGACCCAAUCCUAAUCAUAGCACAAGAUCGUGUAGUUCGUUUUGCUAGAGCUUUUUCAAUGUCAAGUAUCUCUUCCUUAGACCAUGAGAUCGUGUAACUCCCGGAUACCGUAAGAGUGCUUUGGGUGUACCAAACGUCACAACGUAACUGGGUGACUAUAAAGGUGCACUACAGGUAUCUCCGAAAGUGUCUGUUGGGUUGACACGGAUCGAGACUGGGAUUUGUCACUCCGUAUGACGGAGAGGUAUCUCUGGGCCCACUCGGUAAUGCAUCAUCAUAAGGAGCUCAAAGUGACCAAGUGGUUGGUCACGGGAUCAUGCAUUACAGUACGAGUAAAGUGACUUGCCGGUAACGAGACUGAACGAGGUAUUGGGAUACCGACGAUCGAGUCUCGGGCAAGUAACGUACCGAUUGACAAAGGGAAUUUCUUACGGGGUUGAUCAAAUCCUCGACAUCGUGGUUCAUCCGAUGAAAUCAUCGUGGAACAUGUGGGAGACAACAUGGGUAUCCAGAUCCCGCUGUUGGUUAUUGCCCGAGAGCCGUCUCGGUCAUGUCUGCAUGUCUCCCGAACCCGUAGGGUCUACACACUUAAGGUUCGGUGACGCUAGGGUUGUAUGAAUAUGAGUAUGCAGCAAACCGAAUGUUGUUCGGAGUCCCGGAUGAGAUCCCGGACGUCACGAGGAGUUCCGGAAUUGUCCGGAGGUAAAGAUUUAUAUAUAGGAAGUCUUAUUUUGGUCGCCGGAAAAGUUUCGCACUUUAUCGAUAUUGUACCGGGAGUGCCGAAAGGGGUUCGGGGGUCCACCGGGGGGGUCCACCUGCCCCGGGGGGGGCACAUGGGCUGUAGGGGGUGCGCCUUGGCCCAUAUGGGCCAAGGGCACCAGCCCCAAGAGGCCCAUGCGCCAAGGAGACUUGGAGAGGGGAGAGUCCAAAGAGGGGAAGGCACCUCCGAGGUGCCUUGGGGAGGAUGGACUCCUCCCCCCCCUCUUGGCCGCACCCCUUCCUUGGAGGAAGGGGCAAGGCUGCGCCCUCCCCCCUCUCUUGCGCCUAUAUAAAGGGAGGGGAGGGAGGGGUGGCCGGACCAAUAAGUCCUGGCGCCUCCCUCCUCCCUGCAACACCUCCUCCUCCUCCCGUAGUUGCUUAGCGAAGCCCUGCCGGAGUUCUGCUGCAUCCACCACCACGCCGUCGUGCUGCUGGAUCUUCAUCAACCUCUCCUUCCCCCUUGCUGGAUCAAGAAGGAGAAGACGUCAUCCGCUCCGUACGUGUGUUGAACGCGGAGGUGCUGUCCGUUCGGCACUAGGUCAUCGGUGAUCUGAAUCACGGCGAGUACGACUCCAUCAACCCCGUUCCAUUGAACGCUUCCGCUUAGCGAUCUACAAGGGUAUGUAGAUGCACUCUCCUUCCCCUCGUUGUUGGUUUCUCCAUAGAUAGAUCUUGGUGACAGGUAGGAAAUUUUUUGAAUUUAUGCCACGUUCCCCAACACUAUCCCCAUCUUGCGGACAGUGUCCUGAUAUAUCAGAUUGAGACUGCUGCCGUCGUCCAUAAGGACCCGACUGAGGUGGUAUCCGUUGAUUAUUGGGUCGAGCACUAGAGUGGCUGAACCCCCGUGAUGGAUACUAGUCAGACGAUCCCUGCGACCAAAAGUGAUCGGACAGGUCGACCAUGGGUUGAACUUGGGGGCGAUGGCACUACAAAAAAAAGACACAUCCGUGACAUUUUGGGCCAAACAAAAUUUUUUCUGUCAUACUUAUGACACUUCUAUGACGAUAAUUGUGACAAAACCCGGUAUCAUCAUAGAUGUGGUGGGCUCCUACUUCUAUGACAAAAAAUCAUGACAGAAAAUGGGCUUUUCAUCCUGGGCGGGCCGGAGACGCGACUGCAUGACAUUCUUUGGGCCGUCCAUGACAGAAAAAACCAUGGUAGAAGCGAGGGCGAGGAAAAAUUCAGGGAAUUCCCGGUUACGGUGGGUGGUCGGGGGGCCGAGCGAUGUGCGUUUCUCCCGUACACGUACGCGCGUGUGUGCGAGGCGUUGGGCUCUAACUGAACCCGAUCGAGGCGUUGGGCUCUAACUGAACCCGGGCGAUUGCACUAGCUACGUUACUGAACCCGAGUGAUUCCUUCGCUACUGCUGCUAACUAAAGCCGAUCGAUGCUACCUCUGGAUGAACAGUGAGAAUUUGCUAGGGGGGGUUGGAUGAACAGUGAGCGUUGCUGGGGGGUUUGGAUGAACAGUGAGCAGCGGGGUGGAUGAACAGGACCCCGUGGUGUUGCCUCCGGAUGAACAGGACCCCGAUAGAUCGAGCCGGUUGGGGCUGGAUGAACAGGACCCCGUGGAGGGCUGUAUGAACAGGACGACCCCAUGGAGGUCUGGAAUAGUAGAUGGUGGAGGGAUGGAUGGACAGUAGCCCAUUAAGGGGUGGUUGAACAGGAGCCCGUGGAGAGGGCUGGUUGAACAGUAGCCGGUGGAGUAGCGCACGGUGGAGGCUAGAUGAAUAGGAGCCCGUGGAUGAGCAGUCGCAGGUGGAGGCUGGAGGAGGUUGACGGUGGAUGAACAGUAGCCCGUGGAGGAUGGAGGAGGUCGACGGUGGAGAUGAACAGUAUCCCGUGGAGUCCCGUUUUGCAGUACACCACACCCCUCCCGAUGAACAGGACCCCUGUUUCGACCGUAGCGCUCCAACACAAGUCCAUUUCCUCCGUUUUGCAGUACGCCACACCCCUCCAGAUCAACAUGACCCUGUUUCGACCGUAGGAGGUCCAACACAAGUCCGUUUCCUCCGAUUUGCGGUACGCCAGACCCCUCCCGAUGAAUAGGAUCUCGUUUCGAACGUGGUCGGUCGAACACAAGGCCGUUUCCUCCGUUCUGCGGUAUGCCAGGCCUUGUUUCCAUCGGCUGGUCCGUCCAAGCCCUCCCGAUGAACACGACGACGCAUUCUGUUCCAACCUAGCCGGUUGGCUCCCCAUGAACACGACGACGACACUAUUUCUCCGUUCUGACCCAGCCAUGUACACGAGCCCUGGUCAUACCUAUGCACGAAUAGGCGUUCGAGACCCCGCCCGUAUGUACGUACAUGGCCGUAUUUUCUUUCUUGCACACUUGCCGCUGUACGUACGUGUACAUGCUACAUGCGCGCCUCUACUACGACACGUGCGCACCUCUACAUCGACCAGUAUGUACGUACACAUUCGGGACCAAAAUGACAAGCUACGUACGCUUCGACAAGGUGGGUCCCGACUGUCAGGCACUUGCGUGCGAAGAUGUAGAUGGUGGGUCCUAGCAGUCAGGGGGGAAUAGUUUUUUUUUGCCCAGACGCACUUCCUUGCAUGCGAAGAUGUAGCUGGUGGGUCUCAACAGUCAGGGGGAAAACGUCUUUUUGUGAAAUAAGGUGGCACGUCCGGUGGGUCCCUGCUGUCAGGUGGAGGAAUAAUUAUUUUGCGCGUAAUAAGGAGGCACUUCCUUGCGGCCGCCAUGGACCCUACUGUUAGCCUCUCCACGUAUAGUACUCUUCCAAUGGAAGUCGUUCCUUGACCACGUUGACCACUCCGCGCCGAGAGCACCAGGGCGAUGGACGACGGCGAGGCCUAGGAAUGGGAUGACGCGGAGCCGGGGGAGACGCGGCAGUGGAUGCCCACGCGUAGAGGAGUAUGAUGGUUCACUGGUUCGGCUGCGGUGUGAGGCUGUCGUCGCUGCAGAAUAACAGGGGGUGUGGGUGAGUAAAGGGAUGGCCUGGCCAGUGGUGGGAGUAGUAGGGGGCGGUGAGGCCUCCACAACAUCACAACCGGCCACGGGAGGCAGGAGCACGCGGCACGACCGGUGCUGCUUUGGGCGGCUGGAGCAAGAAGACCAGAGGUUGAAGAAGCACUAUGGCUGUUGGAUGGACAUCGUACGGUCACUAGAGCUAGAAUCAUUCAUAUUGACUAAGUUGACAAAGCCCUCCGUCCCCGUCAACUUAGUAGGCCCACAAGUCAGCCUCCCACCAAGGUGGGUCCCAGCUAGCAGAGGGAGUAUUCAUUUUUUCUGUGUAAUAAGGAGGCACUUCCGGUGGGUCCGAGCUGACAGCGGGGGGAACGUUUUUUUUGCGAAAUACGGUGGCCCAUCAGGUGGGUCCCAGCAGUCAGGGUGGAAACAUUUUUUUGCAAAAUACGGUGGCUCGUCUAGUGGGUAGCUGCUGUCAGGUGAAGGAAUCAUUAUUUUCCACAUAAUAAGGAGGCACUUCCUUGCUGCGGACGUUGACCCAGCUGUCAGCCUCUCCACGUACAGUACACUUCCGAUGGAAGUCGUUCCUUGACCACGUUGACCACGCUGCGUUCCGUUGCAUGCAUGUGUCCAUGGGCGUGGUGCAUCCCCACUGUCAGCCUCUCACGUAUAGUCAUCCUCCGAUGACUCUCGAUUGUUGACCAUGUUGACCACACCGUGCCGAGCGCACCAAGGACGGUGGACGACGGCGAGGCCCUAGACUGGAACAACCCGGAGAUGGGGAAGAUGGGGCAGUGGAGUUGCAGAUGGAGAGGAGUGGGAAAUUUGACUGGUUCGGGUGCGCGGCAGCAUAGCCGCGGUGCCGCCCAUGGGAGACAGGAGCAAGAACAGAGGUUGAAGAAGGAGCACGGUUGUUGGAUUAACAUCGAAUGGUCCAACUACUAGAAUCAUUUGUUGAUUAAGUUGACAAAGCCCUGCGUACACGUCCGCUUAGUAGGCCCACAAGUCAUCCACCAAAUCUGACGGGUCCCAGCUGUCAACGGGAGGAAUAUAUUUUUUCGCAUAACAAGGAGGCACUUCCUUCUGUGCGAAGAUACAGCCGGUGGGUCCCAGCUGUCAGGUGGAGGAAACCUUUUUUCAGCUUAAUAAGGAGGAACUUUCCUUGCGUGCGACCAUGGACCUCGUCGGUCCCAGCCGUCAGGCUCUCCACGUACAGUCCUCUUCCGAUGACUAUCAUUUGUUGACCACGCCGCACUGAGCGCAGCGAGGCGGUGGACGACGGCGAGGCCCCGGAUGGGAACGACUCGGAGAUGGGAAGACGCAGCAGUGGAGUCGCAGAUUGAGAGGAGGAGAAGGGUUAUAACUGGUUCUGGUGCAGCGUGGGACUGCAGUCGAUUGAGAAUAACAGGAGGUGUGGAGGGGUGGAGGGAUAGCCUGGCCGGCGGUGGGGUAGCGCUUCGCAGCGAUGCGUGCUAAGCAAAGCCGCUAGCCGUCGGAGGCCGGACCAGGCAGUCUCGACGACAUUGGAAGAAGAAGAUGAGAGAUUGAAGGUGCAUGUUGGCCAUUGGAUAUAAAUCCAAUGGUUGUGGAUGUCAUAAUCAUUUGUUGAUCAAGUUGGCAAUGCCCUGCGUAGGCUUCAACCUAUUGGCCCACAUGUCAGCCUGCAAAAAUGUGGCAUAUAUUUAACCCAUGUUUUCUAGAAUGUACAGUCCAUUUGCUGGGCUAGGUGAACAAAUAAUUUCGCAUCAAUCAAGCCCAUUUAUAUUUUCUAAGAAAUCCCAGCCCACUUGCACUUCCUUGAAAUACACGAAUUAGCUGGGCUCGUUAUAUAUAUAUAUAUAUAUAUAUAUAUAUAAUGUUAUGUUAGAAGGAGCAAUUAAUAUCAAAAAAUAAACCGGAGAGGCACAUUAUAUAUAAUUAACAAAUUAGCGAGUUAUUGCUCAAAAUAAAAAUGAGCGCAUUAUUAUUACAUUGGUCCUUAAAAUCUUUGCAAGCUUUUGUACGCAAUCACCAGGAUUUUCCUUGCCUGUGAGUCAAAAAUAAUCAGGAUUUUCCUUGCCAACUUCUGUUAAACAUUUACUUUUAUAAGUUAAUAAUACAUGGGAUGUUUUUAUAAUGUAUAUAUAAGUCUCUAUUAAAUAUAUGAUAAUAGUAAUAAUAUAAAUAUAUAUAAUGUGGUUAGAAGGGAAAACAUAAAUUGGACACACCAUUAUUAUUCUUAUAUAUAGAUAGAUAGAGCAGAGACCUGCGUUUUAUUAAAAAAAUGCAUUGGGUUGUCGAUCUUUAAGAAAAAGCCCAUAGGCCAGUAUGGACCUCAAAAAAUAAGUUGAAACAAACUGUCUUCGUAUGUCGUGGGCUACGCAUGUUAAAAUACAAAACCUAGGCGUAGCUGAUACUUGUUUGCCCUCUGGAUAAAAAUGAUACCAGAUCCCCGAGCGAACUAGAUUAAAGAGGGGGCCGACGGCAUGACUAAAGAAGCACAUCAGGAGCGAUUUUUUUUCUUCAGUGGAUGGCUCGCCUCCCAGUCUGUCGUGGUGGACCAGCAGCGCAUUUGCUGGGCGGGCCAACCUACAGAAACCAGCACUCGAUUUUUCAUCAAGCCUCCAAAAGAACGCAGUACUAUGUUUGUUUUGAGGCCGAAAACAUUACGGCAGGGGUUGAGCGGGGCAGGGGGAAGACAGAGUAAAAAGAUAAAAAGAACUGAUGCGCCAUUGCUACCCUAACAAAGCAGGUGCAAUUCUUCUCGAAAAGAAGGUGUGCCGUUGACACCCACACGUCACAUAUCCCACAGUAGGCAUACUAACAAGUUCACACACAAGUACAACAGAAAAGGUAAACAUUCGUAUUAAACUCAGGUUCACAUGACAUGUUCAUAUUCAUAGCCAACAUUCACUAUCAACAACUCAAAAGAUUCAUAUAUACAUAAGUUCAACAUGUCUAUGCAUCCAAAUGAUUGAUAGAUCACACGACAAUAUUCAUACAUAAUUCACAAAAAGAUUUAGAUAUACACAUGUUCAGUAUGUUUAUGCAUCCAAAUGAUUGAGAUCAUAGCCAAUAUGAUCCAUGGACGAACUUUAAUUACCUAGGGUACAGACUGGUAAAUGGUGUUCAGUCAGAGGUACUUCUUGCUAAAAUUAAUGUUUGUACGAGUAAACUUUCGAGUACAUAAGAGGCAGCACAGACAAUCUGAACUUUGCUUGUAGGUUUAUCCUCAAAUAGUGGCCUCAUGCCGAGGGAGGUUUGAGCAACUUGGCCACUACUUUCAUCCAACUAGUUUAUUGGCUCAUCUUGGUCCUGUAGCUCGCCAAAAUUCUACAUUGCAGACGAGAAAGGAGGCGGUUGAGAAAAUGAACCACCCAAUUUUUUUGCGCAGUUCAACUGAAAUGGAGCAUCCCUGGCGUGCAGACUGAUUAAGUGCCAGAUGAAUAUACGCGUCAACCAACUUGUCUAGAAUCUUUAGACUCCAUGCCAUACAGUUCACUACCAUAUCUGUCGAUAACCAAAAGGCACAAGUUGGGACCAAAGACUGGACUGUGUUCUUCUGGGCUAUGCGCCAAGAAAUAUUUUUGGCAUUCACUCUCCUAAUACUUGGAGUUUGACAACUGGUUGACACCGGUUGAUACUCGAAUGAAUAUAUACACUUCUUGUCAACAUCGAUGGUUGUCUGAGUGAACUUUGGAGUACAUAGCAACAACAUAAGUAUAUGUCCAUCUGAUCUUUUUGUGUAGUUCUACUGAAAUCACCCAAUGCAAUGAUUUGCCUGCGAGUUCAGGCUCCAAGUUACUCCUUUAUAAAAUCGGCAAAUAGUAGCACAAUACCAAAUUACCAAUACAUGACAAGCACAAUAAUCAGGAUAAAGACCAGUACCAACCUGUGUGAGGUAGCAUAUCAAUUACUAUUUCCUUUGACUGGAAGCCGAGAUAAGCGAAGCGACUGACAGCAAAGGAAGAAAGCAGGCCCAGAUUAGUGACUGGCAAGAAAGGAUAGAAGCUGUCGAGGCAAUGAAGCACCCAAAGUUUUUGUGCAGUUCCACCAAAAUCGAGCAUCCCUGUUGGUACAUAUAUUGAGAGUGAGAUUACUGUAAUAGUGGGACUAGUUGAUGAAACAUACAUUAACAAAUAGAAGCACCCUCAUUAUCUUAAUGGGUAAAGUUAGCAACAUAGUAGUCUUGCUUAAAAAGAGGUAUUAGUUUAUUUAAUCAGUGCUAAUUAGCUCAACACUCAAAGCAUUGCCAUUUAUCAUAGGUUGCAAAACUUUAACAUGCAAAGAUAAAGGAGUUUCUCAUGACAGUAGCACGAUACAAAUAGAGAUGACAUCAAACUAAUAUGGAUGAAGGCCUUAGGCCCGUACCAACCUGAGAAAAAAAGAUUAUUCAUGUAGUCCCAUAAGAGAUGAUAAAGCACUCAGUGGAAUCACUGAAUAGUAUAUAUUUUUGUGCACUUCAAAUGUAUGGUUGAAAUCACUCUUGUUUACCAGUGCUGAGAUUAUAUCGAAAUAUUAUCAAGAACUUCCAACAGAGUUAAAGCACUGGUUGGGAUAUAGUUCAUUGUAUUGUCUUGUGUAGUUCCACUAAAAUGUAUGAUUGGCACAACAUGAUCCCUGUUUGCACAAGCAGGAACAAGGCGAAACCUUCAUUAGCUUAGUGAGAAAGGAUAGAAAGACAUUAGCAUAUUACUCUAACAGUAGCAUCAAAUUCAUGAUGGACAAUACACAAAACAUUGCCUCAUUGAACCAAUGGCAAUAAAUUGACAUGCAAAACAAUAGCACUAUUAUGUCAUGACACUAAUAAUAUCCCCUCCCUGCUCCACCACAUGAUUCACCUCCAUAGACAAACAUACACAUGUACAUGAUUCAACAUAGGGUCCUACUAAAGAUUUGUUUAACUCCAACAGGAAAAAUUAGGCACCAAUAAAUUAGUGGUACUUAAGUACUCCUAAUUAAGUAAGUGAGAUGGCAGAAGUGGAAGGGCUCCCUGGAGGAUCGUCUCACAUGUAAGGUAGUCGUUGCCGGAGCCCUUGAAUGGCCUCGACUGAGGCCUCUGGCUUCAGCAAGAUCGCCUUGGCACUGUUUAUUCUUCUUCCUCCUCUUCAUGCUCUGUUUCUCUUUCUCCUCACCAGUUGGUGAAACCAAGUACAUGAUUCGCCUUCUAUUUCAGAAUUGGUUUUGUCAGUGAGGGAGUACAAGUGUACUAGUAAAAAUAGCAUUAUUUUCUCAUGGCAGUCGGAAAGUAGAGAUGAACACAUGCAUUAAAUAUCAUUCUUACCUAAAGGAAGGUUAUAGCGCCAAUAUGGAUGAUGAGGAUUGGAACACAAAUCUCCCUUUGUGCAGUUCCACCGAAAUGAACCAACUGUUCCAUUCUGACAUUCCGGUUAAACAGCACAAAAGUCACUUCUUUUAAGAAGAGUUUUGUGUAGUGCACCAAAAGGUCACAACAGCAACCAGGUGAAUUGGAUAUCCCUGUUUGCACAAAAAGCUACAGAGGAAACAGUCAGAGUCUCAAACAAUUGUAGGAAAAAACAUUUGGCUAAACUUGUCAUGGCUUAUAACAGUGACAUGGCUUCAUUUUUACCAGGGACAUUAGAUUAAGAACAGCUAAAUAUUUGGUAUAAGGGCAUGGGAUAGUGGGUGCACCAGCAGUCCAGCACCAUGUACCUAAACAGGUGCAUAAAGUGGUGAUUCAUAGUUUGUUGCCCCGAGAAACAAACAUCCAAGAAACAUAUCUAGGUUGGUCCCACUUUUGUUCACUCUAGCCACCUACUCCUAUGUGUGGAUAGCAAAUCUAGUCCUGGUCAUACCACUGUGUACAUCGUUACCCCUAUAUUUCCCUUUUCGACCAAGAGACCGGUUGGAUGACCAGUUUGUACUACUUUCACCCCCUUUCCUUCUUGUUUGUACCAAAUCCGAUGUACAUACUAAAUUCCCCCACCCCCACUUUAUUUCUUGUUUGAACCAAGUACUCCCUCCGUCCGGAAUUACUUGUCAUCAAAAUGGAUGUGUCUAGAACUAAAAUACAUCUAGAUACAUCCAU